This 1345-nucleotide small RNA is filed under the name Hygrophoropsis rufa. RNAcentral's name for it is "eukaryotic LSU rRNA". The stretch from base 703 to 1345 matches the Rfam family "Eukaryotic large subunit ribosomal RNA", at positions 1 to 639 of the family's 3401-position model. Lineage: Eukaryota; Fungi; Basidiomycota; Agaricomycetes; Boletales; Hygrophoropsidaceae. The record is from RNAcentral.
GGUGAACCUGCGGAAGGACAUUAACGAAUUCUGUUGAGAAGGAAGGGAGCAGACUGUUGCUGGCCUUUUGUUGAUCGAUGGUGACGCUGGAUAACGGCUGAACCGUUUGUUUUGGCAUUGUGCACGUUUGUGACUUUUCCCUAUCGAUAGCUUUCUCCCAACCCACACCUGUGCACUCGUUGUAGGCUCUUUUUGAAAGAAAAGGGCCUAUGUUUUUCUACACACCCCAUUUGUAUGUUUAUAGAAUGUCUUUUUACGAUUACCGAGCGCUUCUUCGAGAAGAUGGUCGGUAAGUAAAGUUAAUACAACUUUCAGCAAUGGAUCUCUUGGCUCUCGCAUCGAUGAAGAACGCAGCGAAUUGCGAUAUGUAAUGUGAAUUGCAGAUUUUCAGUGAAUCAUCGAAUCUUUGAACGCACCUUGCCGCUCCUUGGUAUUCCGAGGAGCAUGCCUGUUUGAGUGUCAUUAAAUUCUCAACUCCCUUUGGUUUUGUUAUCGAAGGGGGCUUGGAUAGUGGGUUUGCCGGUGGUUGCUAAUAACCCUCGGCUUUCCUUAAAUGCAUUGGCAAAGACGAAGGCAUGAUAACGUCUUUCGGUGUGAUAAUGAUCGCCGUGGAUGGAAGUGACCUAGUUCGUACUGUGCCUAUAACCCCUUGCGUUGUUGCUGCCUUGUGCAAGUGACGGUGCUUAACUUUAAUGAACCUUUUGACCUCAAAUCAGGUAGGAUUACCCGCUGAACUUAAGCAUAUCAAUAAGCGGAGGAAAAGAAACUAACAAGGAUUCCCCUAGUAACUGCGAGUGAAGCGGGAAGAGCUCAAAUUUUGAAUCUGGCGGUCCCUUGUGGCCGUCCGAAUUGUAAUCUAGAGAAGCGUUUUCCGCGCUGGAACCGUGUACAAGUCUCCUGGAAGGGAGCGUCAUAGAGGGUGAGAAUCCCGUCUUUGACACGGACUACCAGGGCUUUUGUGAUGCGCUCUCGACGAGUCGAGUUGUUUGGGAAUGCAGCUCAAAUUGGGUGGUAAAUUCCAUCUAAAGCUAAAUACAGGCGAGAGACCGAUAGCGAACAAGUACCGUGAGGGAAAGAUGAAAAGAACUUUGGAAAGAGAGUUAAACAGUACGUGAAAUUGCUGAAAGGGAAACGCUUGAUGUCAGUCGCGUUGGCCGGGGAUCAGCCUUGCUUCAUUGCUGGGUGCACUUCCUGGUUGACGGGUCAGCAUCAAUUUUGGUUGUUGGAUAAAGGUCGAGGGGAACGUGGCACUCUUCGGGGUGUGUUAUAGCCCUUUGUUGCAUACAGCAGCUGGGAUUGAGGAACUCAGCACGACCCUUCGGGGUUUGGGGCUUUCGGGCUCACA